GUUAGUGGCGGACGGGUGAGUAACACGUGGGAACGUGCCUUUAGGUUCGGAAUAGCUCCUGGAAACGGGUGGUAAUGCCGAAUGUGCCCUUCGGGGGAAAGAUUUAUCGCCUUUAGAGCGGCCCGCGUCUGAUUAGCUAGUUGGUGAGGUAACGGCUCACCAAGGCGACGAUCAGUAGCUGGUCUGAGAGGAUGACCAGCCACACUGGGACUGAGACACGGCCCAGACUCCUACGGGAGGCAGCAGUGGGGAAUCUUGCGCAAUGGGCGAAAGCCUGACGCAGCCAUGCCGCGUGAAUGAUGAAGGUCUUAGGAUUGUAAAAUUCUUUCACCGGGGACGAUAAUGACGGUACCCGGAGAAGAAGCCCCGGCUAACUUCGUGCCAGCAGCCGCGGUAAUACGAAGGGGGCUAGCGUUGCUCGGAAUUACUGGGCGUAAAGGGCGCGUAGGCGGAUCGUUAAGUCAGAGGUGAAAUCCCAGGGCUCAACCCUGGAACUGCCUUUGAUACUGGCGAUCUUGAGUAUGAGAGAGGUAUGUGGAACUCCGAGUGUAGAGGUGAAAUUCGUAGAUAUUCGGAAGAACACCAGUGGCGAAGGCGACAUACUGGCUCAUUACUGACGCUGAGGCGCGAAAGCGUGGGGAGCAAACAGGAUUAGA
RNAcentral lists this ribosomal RNA (656 nucleotides) under uncultured bacterium. Its description in RNAcentral is "bacterial SSU rRNA". It matches the Rfam family "Bacterial small subunit ribosomal RNA", at positions 91 to 782 of the family's 1533-position model. The record is from RNAcentral.